GAGGGAGAUGGCCGGGCGGACGGCCACCUGUCUGUAAAACAGGCGCCUUUGCGCAUGGCGGGUUCGAGCCCUGCCUCCCUCACCA
This 85-nucleotide transfer RNA is filed under the name Methylobacterium aquaticum. RNAcentral's name for it is "tRNA-Tyr". It matches the Rfam family "tRNA". Rfam says of the family: Transfer RNA (tRNA) molecules are approximately 80 nucleotides in length. Their secondary structure includes four short double-helical elements and three loops (D, anti-codon, and T loops). The record is from RNAcentral. Lineage: Bacteria; Pseudomonadati; Pseudomonadota; Alphaproteobacteria; Hyphomicrobiales; Methylobacteriaceae.